GCGAACGCUGGCGGCAGGCCUAACACAUGCAAGUCGAACGGAUCCUUCGGGAUUAGUGGCGGACGGGUGAGUAACACGUGGGAACGUGCCUUUUGGUUCGGAACAACUCAGGGAAACUUGAGCUAAUACCGGAUAAGCCUUUCGAGGGAAAGAUUUAUCGCCAUUAGAGCGGCCCGCGUAGGAUUAGCUAGUUGGUGAGGUAAAGGCUCACCAAGGCUACGAUCCUUAGCUGGUCUGAGAGGAUGAUCAGCCACAUUGGGACUGAGACACGGCCCAAACUCCUACGGGAGGCAGCAGUGGGGAAUCUUGCGCAAUGGGCGAAAGCCUGACGCAGCCAUGCCGCGUGAAUGAUGAAGGUCUUAGGAUUGUAAAAUUCUUUCACCGAGGACGAUAAUGACGGUACUCGGAGAAGAAGCCCCGGCUAACUUCGU
Molecule: ribosomal RNA, 431 nt
Filed under: uncultured bacterium
Lineage: Bacteria
Description: bacterial SSU rRNA
Rfam family: Bacterial small subunit ribosomal RNA
Source: RNAcentral